Molecule: ribosomal RNA, 511 nt
Filed under: uncultured bacterium
Lineage: Bacteria
Description: partial 16S ribosomal RNA
Rfam family: Bacterial small subunit ribosomal RNA
Source: RNAcentral
GACGAGCGCUGGCGGCGUGCCUAAUACAUGCAAGUCGAGCGAAUCAAUGGGAGCUUGCUCCCUGAGAUUAGCGGCGGACGGGUGAGUAACACGUGGGUAACCUGCCUGUAAGACUGGGAUAACUUCGGGAAACCGGAGCUAAUACCGGAUACGUUCUUUUUUCGCAUGAGGAGAGAUGGAAAGAUGGUUCUGCUAUCACUUACAGAUGGACCCGCGGCGCAUUAGCUAGUUGGUGAGGUAACGGCUCACCAAGGCGACGAUGCGUAGCCGACCUGAGAGGGUAAUCGGCCACACUGGGACUGAGACACGGCCCAGACUCCUACGGGAGGCAGCAGUAGGGAAUCUUCCGCAAUGGACGAAAGUCUGACGGAGCAACGCCGCGUGAGCGAAGAAGGCCUUCGGGUCGUAAAGCUCUGUUGUUAGGGAAGAACAAGUACGAGAGUAACUGCUCGUACCUUGACGGUACCUAACCAGAAAGCCACGGCUAACUACGUGCCAGCCGCCGCGGUAA